This 348-nucleotide ribosomal RNA is filed under the name uncultured bacterium. RNAcentral describes it as "bacterial SSU rRNA". It matches the Rfam family "Bacterial small subunit ribosomal RNA", at positions 8 to 350 of the family's 1533-position model. The record is from RNAcentral.
AGAGUUUGAUCCUGGCUCAGGACGAACGCUGGCGGCGCGCCUAACACAUGCAAGUCGAACGAGCGAGAGAGAGCUUGCUUUCUCGAGCGAGUGGCGAACGGGUGAGUAACGCGUGAGGAACCUGCCUCAAAGAGGGGGACAACAGUUGGAAACGACUGCUAAUACCGCAUAAGCCCACGACCCGGCAUCGGGUAGAGGGAAAAGGAGCAAUCCGCUUUGAGAUGGCCUCGCGUCCGAUUAGCUAGUUGGUGAGGUAACGGCCACCAAGGCGACGAUCGGUAGCCGGACUGGAGAGGUUGAACGGCCACAUUGGGACUGAGACACGGCCCAGAACUCCGUACGGAGGCA